UCCGGCUUAUCACCGGCAGUCCCCCUAGAGUGCCCAACUAAAUGGUAGCAACUAAGGACGGGGGUUGCGCUCGUUGCGGGACUUAACCCAACAUCUCACGACACGAGCUGACGACAGCCAUGCAGCACCUGUCACCGGUCCAGCCGAACUGAAGGAAUCCAUCUCUGGAAACCGCGACCGGGAUGUCAAGGGCUGGUAAGGUUCUGCGCGUUGCGUCGAAUUAAACCACAUGCUCCACCGCUUGUGCGGGCCCCCGUCAAUUCCUUUGAGUUUCAGCCUUGCGGCCGUACUCCCCAGGCGGGGUACUUAUUGCGUUAGCGCCGGCCCUCGGGGGGUCGCUCCCCCAAGCGCCUAGUGCCCAUCGUUUACGGCGUGGACUAC
RNAcentral lists this unclassified non-coding RNA (381 nucleotides) under uncultured Alphaproteobacteria bacterium. Its description in RNAcentral is "contains 16S-23S intergenic spacer region". Lineage: Bacteria; Pseudomonadati; Pseudomonadota; Alphaproteobacteria. The record is from RNAcentral.